AUUGAACGCUGGCGGCAGGCCUAACACAUGCAAGUCGAGCGGAUGAAGGGAGCUUGCUCCUGGAUUCAGCUGCGGACGGGUGAGUAAUGCCUAGGAAUCUGCCUGGUAGUUGGGGAUAACGUCCGGAAACGGGCGCUAAUACCGCAUACGUCCUGAGUGUGAAAGUGGGGGAUCUUCGGACCUCACGCUAUCAGAUGAGCCUUGGUCGGAUUAGCUAGUUGGUUGGGUAAAGGCCUACCAAGGCGACGAUCCGUAACUGGUCUGAGAGGAUGAUCAGUCACACUGGAACUGAGACACGGUCCAGACUCCUACGGGAGGCAGCAGUGGGGAAUAUUCGACAAUGGGCGAAAGCCUGAUCCAGCCAUGCCGCGUGUGUGAAGAAGGUCUUCGGAUUGUAAAGCACUGUAAGUAGGGAGGAAGGGCAGUAAGUUAAUACCUUGAUGUUUUGACGUUACCAACAGAAUAAGCACCGGCUAACUUCGUG
Molecule: ribosomal RNA, 484 nt
Filed under: uncultured bacterium
Lineage: Bacteria
Description: partial 16S ribosomal RNA
Rfam family: Bacterial small subunit ribosomal RNA
Source: RNAcentral